This 492-nucleotide ribosomal RNA is filed under the name uncultured bacterium. RNAcentral describes it as "partial 16S ribosomal RNA". It matches the Rfam family "Bacterial small subunit ribosomal RNA", at positions 36 to 507 of the family's 1533-position model. The record is from RNAcentral.
AUUUCCCCCUUUCUUUAGGCCUAACACAUGCAAGUCGAACGGCAGCACAGUAAGAGCUUGCUCUUACGGGUGGCGAGUGGCGGACGGGUGAGGAAUACAUCGGAAUCUACUUUUUCGUGGGGGAUAACGUAGGGAAACUUACGCUAAUACCGCAUACGACCUACGGGUGAAAGCAGGGGAUCUUCGGACCUUGCGCGAUUGAAUGAGCCGAUGUCGGAUUAGCUAGUUGGCGGGGUAAAGGCCCACCAAGGCGACGAUCCGUAGCUGGUCUGAGAGGAUGAUCAGCCACACUGGAACUGAGACACGGUCCAGACUCCUACGGGAGGCAGCAGUGGGGAAUAUUGGACAAUGGGCGCAAGCCUGAUCCAGCCAUACCGCGUGGGCGAAGAAGGCCUUCGGGUUGUAAAGCCCUUUUGUUGGGAAAGAAAAGCAGCAGGUUAAUACCCCGCUGUUCUGACGGUACCCAAAGAAUAAGCACCGGCUAACUUCGUG